RNAcentral lists this ribosomal RNA (1357 nucleotides) under uncultured bacterium. Its description in RNAcentral is "bacterial SSU rRNA". It matches the Rfam family "Bacterial small subunit ribosomal RNA", at positions 28 to 1394 of the family's 1533-position model. The record is from RNAcentral.
GAUGAACGCUGGCGGCGUGCUUAACACAUGCAAGUCGAACGAUGAAGCCCAGCUUGCUGGGUGGAUUAGUGGCGAACGGGUGAGUAACACGUGAGUAACCUGCCCCUGACUCUGGGAUAAGCCCGGGAAACUGGGUCUAAUACUGGAUAUGACCUGUCACCGCAUGGUGGUGGGUGGAAAGAUUUUUUGGUUGGGGAUGGACUCGCGGCCUAUCAGCUUGUUGGUGAGGUAGUGGCUCACCAAGGCGACGACGGGUAGCCGGCCUGAGAGGGUGACCGGCCACACUGGGACUGAGACACGGCCCAGACUCCUACGGGAGGCAGCAGUGGGGAAUAUUGCACAAUGGGCGCAAGCCUGAUGCAGCGACGCCGCGUGAGGGAUGACGGCCUUCGGGUUGUAAACCUCUUUCAGUAGGGAAGAAGCCUUUGGGUGACGGUACCUGCAGAAGAAGCGCCGGCUAACUACGUGCCAGCAGCCGCGGUAAUACGUAGGGCGCAAGCGUUAUCCGGAUUUAUUGGGCGUAAAGAGCUCGUAGGCGGUUUGUCGCGUCUGCCGUGAAAGUCCGGGGCUUAACUCCGGAUCUGCGGUGGGUACGGGCAGACUAGAGUGCAGUAGGGGAGACUGGAAUUCCUGGUGUAGCGGUGAAAUGCGCAGAUAUCAGGAGGAACACCGAUGGCGAAGGCAGGUCUCUGGGCUGUAACUGACGCUGAGGAGCGAAAGCAUGGGGAGCGAACAGGAUUAGAUACCCUGGUAGUCCAUGCCGUAAACGUUGGGCACUAGGUGUGGGGGACAUUCCACGUUUUCCGCGCCGUAGCUAACGCAUUAAGUGCCCCGCCUGGGGAGUACGGCCGCAAGGCUAAAACUCAAAGGAAUUGACGGGGGCCCGCACAAGCGGCGGAGCAUGCGGAUUAAUUCGAUGCAACGCGAAGAACCUUACCAAGGCUUGACAUGGACUGGAUCGCCGCAGAGAUGUGGUUUCCCUUCGGGGCUGGUUCACAGGUGGUGCAUGGUUGUCGUCAGCUCGUGUCGUGAGAUGUUGGGUUAAGUCCCGCAACGAGCGCAACCCUCGUUCCAUGUUGCCAGCGGGUUAUGCCGGGGACUCAUGGGAGACUGCCGGGGUCAACUCGGAGGAAGGUGAGGACGACGUCAAAUCAUCAUGCCCCUUAUGUCUUGGGCUUCACGCAUGCUACAAUGGCCGGUACAAAGGGUUGCGAUACUGUGAGGUGGAGCUAAUCCCAAAAAGCCGGUCUCAGUUCGGAUUGGGGUCUGCAACUCGACCCCAUGAAGUCGGAGUCGCUAGUAAUCGCAGAUCAGCAACGCUGCGGUGAAUACGUUCCCGGGCCUUGUACACACCGCC